GCCAGUGUGGCAUAAUGGUUUGAGAGUUGGACUACAACUCUGGAGGCCAGGGUUCAAUUCCAAGCUUGGCCA
Molecule: transfer RNA, 72 nt
Filed under: Phrynosoma platyrhinos (Desert horned lizard)
Lineage: Eukaryota; Metazoa; Chordata; Lepidosauria; Squamata; Phrynosomatidae
Description: tRNA-OTHER
Source: RNAcentral